Molecule: ribosomal RNA, 447 nt
Filed under: uncultured bacterium
Lineage: Bacteria
Description: partial 16S ribosomal RNA
Rfam family: Bacterial small subunit ribosomal RNA
Source: RNAcentral
AACGAACGCUGGCGGCAGGCCUAACACAUGCAAGUCGAGCGCCCCGCAAGGGGAGCGGCGGACGGGUGAGUAACGCGUGGGAACGUACCUUUUACUUCGGAAUAGCCUCGGGAAACUGGGAGUAAUACCGAAUGUGCCCUACGGGGGAAAGAUUUAUCGGCAAAAGAUCGGCCCGCGUUGGAUUAGGUAGUUGGGGGGGUAAUGGCCUACCAAGCCGACGAUCCAUAGCUGGUUUGAGAGGAUGAUCAGCCACACUGGGACUGAGACACGGCCCAGACUCCUACGGGAGGCAGCAGUGGGGAAUCUUAGACAAUGGGCGCAAGCCUGAUCUAGCCAUGCCGCGUGAGCGAUGAAGGCCUUAGGGUUGUAAAGCUCUUUCGUGGGGGAAGAUAAUGACUGUACCCCAAGAAGAAGCCCCGGCUAACUCCGUGCCAGCCGCCGCGGUAA